GGAAGGAUCAUUAUUGUAUGUUUCUACCGUUAACAAAAAUAUAUAUUGCCAACUUACCAAACAAAAAAUGUUUUUAUAAAAUCAUAAUUGUAAAAUAAAUAUAUUCAGUUGUACAUCUUGUAUGUAUUUUUUAAUGAGUUGUCAAUAUACUGAUAUAGUUAGUAUCUUGGAUGCAGUAACACUUGGAUAUAUGUGUGUAGCAUUUAAUAUUAAAAUUACAUAUUGAUGAUAUAUUACAAUAUAUUGAUUUAUAAAAUCUGUGUGCAUAUGGACCAUAAUAUGCACGCGUUGCGCAUAUGUAUUGUCCAUCACAGAUAUGGGCAUACAUUGGUUAAUGCAACAGCCUAAAAAGUACAAUGUUGUACCUGUGUUCAGGUUAAUACUUUUAUAUAAAUUGAUAUUUACCGAAAAUUGUCAAAUUAUUUGUAUUCAUAAAUAUGGUAAUAUAUCGUUUAUAUAAAACUAAGACAUUUCGCAACAUUCUUUUAGGAUAAAAAUAAAAUUUUAUUGAAGGAAUUGAUAUAUGCCAGUAAAAUGGUGUAUUUUUAAUUUCUUUCAAUAAAAACAUAUCUGACAAAUGUAAUAACAAACAAAUUUUAAUCACUCUAAGCGGUGGAUCACUCGGCUCAUGGGUCGAUGAAGAACGCAGCAAACUGUGCGUCAUCGUGUGAACUGCAGGACACAUGAACAUCGACAUUUUGAACGCAUAUCGCAGUCCAUGCUGUUAUGUACUUUAAUUAAUUUUAUAGUGCUGCUUGGACUACAUAUGGUUGAGGGUUGUAAGACUAUGCUAAAUAAGUUGUUUGAA
This 808-nucleotide long non-coding RNA is filed under the name Drosophila guanche. The stretch from base 602 to 780 matches the Rfam family "5.8S ribosomal RNA". The record is from RNAcentral. Lineage: Eukaryota; Metazoa; Arthropoda; Insecta; Diptera; Drosophilidae.